GAUGAACGCUGGCGGCGUGCCUAAUACAUGCAAGUCGAGCGAACGGACGAGAAGCUUGCUUCUCUGAUGUUAGCGGCGGACGGGUGAGUAACACGUGGAUAACCUACCUAUAAGACUGGGAUAACUUCGGGAAACCGGAGCUAAUACCGGAUAAUAUUUUGAACCGCAUGGUUCAAAAGUGAAAGACGGUCUUGCUGUCUCUUAUAGAUGGAUCCGCGCUGCAUUAGCUAGUUGGUAAGGUAACGGCUUACCAAGGCAACGAUGCAUAGCCGACCUGAGAGGGUGAGCGGCCACACUGGAACUGAGACACGGUCCAGACUCCUACGGGAGGCAGCAGUAGGGAAUCUUCCGCAAUGGGCGAAAGCCUGACGGAGCAACGCCGCGUGAGUGAUGAAGGUCUUCGGAUCGUAAAACUCUGUUAUUAGGGAAGAACAUAUGUGUAAGUAACUGUGCACAUCUUGACGGUACCUAAUCAGAAAGCCACGGCUAACUACGUG
RNAcentral lists this ribosomal RNA (497 nucleotides) under uncultured bacterium. RNAcentral describes it as "partial 16S ribosomal RNA". It matches the Rfam family "Bacterial small subunit ribosomal RNA", at positions 28 to 507 of the family's 1533-position model. The record is from RNAcentral.